GAUGAACGCUGGCGGCGUGCCUAAUACAUGCAAGUCGAGCGAACGGACGAGAAGCUUGCUUUUCUGAUGUUAGCGGCGGACGGGUGAGUAACACGUGGAUAACCUACCUAUAAGACUGGGAUAACUUCGGGAAACCGGAGCUAAUACCGGAUAAUAUUUUGAACCGCAUGGUUCAAAAGUGAAAGACGGUCUUGCUGUCACUUAUAGAUGGAUUCGCGCUGCAUUAGCUAGUUGGUAAGGUAACGGCUUACCAAGGCAACGAUGCAUAGCCGACCUGAGAGGGUGAUCGGCCACACUGGAACUGAGACACGGUCCAGACUCCUACGGGAGGCAGCAGUAGGGAAUCUUCCGCAAUGGGCGAAAGCCUGACGGAGCAACGCCGCGUGAGUGAUGAAGGUCUUCGGGUCGUAAAACUCUGUUAUUAGGGAAGAACAUAUGUGUAAGUAACUGUGCACAUCUUGACGGUACCUAAUCAGAAAGCCACGGCUAACUACGUG
Molecule: ribosomal RNA, 497 nt
Filed under: uncultured bacterium
Lineage: Bacteria
Description: partial 16S ribosomal RNA
Rfam family: Bacterial small subunit ribosomal RNA
Source: RNAcentral